This 1530-nucleotide unclassified non-coding RNA is filed under the name Dermacentor andersoni. RNAcentral's name for it is "zinc finger protein ubi-d4 B-like". Lineage: Eukaryota; Metazoa; Arthropoda; Arachnida; Ixodida; Ixodidae. The record is from RNAcentral.
CUCGUUAUACGAGGAGCUGUAAAGAUGGCGCUAGGUCCCCUGAAGAUCAAUCCGGUGGCUUUAAACCGGUUAAAAGCCUUCCUGAGUGAGCCAGCGUACAAGGAUGCGACGGAGAGUUCGUCGAUGUGCAACACACGCCUGGUGGUCGAGCGGCGCCUGCGGCUGCCUUUUCUGGACGCCCAGACGGGUGUGGCGCAGAGUGACUGCGCCCUGUGGAUGGCCCGCUGGCAGCGAAUGCCGGGCCAUGCCGAGGGCCAGCUCUACUCAUAUCCAGCACGGCGAUGGCGCAAGCGCCGUCGCCAGUACCUGAUGAAUGACCGGUACCUGGGGGCCACGCGACUGCGCGAGCAGCCGCCGGACUACGGGGACGCAGACAUGCACCAGAUCAGCGUGGUGGAGAAUGUGGCGGCACGGCCAACGGAGGGCCUGGACGAGGCUGCCGACAAAGGGGCUGGAGCCCCGGUUGGCGGUGAGGACUCUAACCAGUCGUGGUACCUGGACGAGGCCCAGGAGUCAACAGCUGCCCUGCUGGAGGCCACAGCAGUGGCCGACUUCCCCGACGACCCUGAGACAGACACGGAGGACUAUGACGAGACAUACACACGCAAGAAGAAGAAGAAGCCCAAGAAUGCUGGCCAGAAGAAGCGGACCCGCAUUGAGUACACGGACGCCGAGAAACCGUACAGCUGUGAAAUAUGCGGUGUGCGGUACAAGACGCGCCCUGGCCUGUCGUACCACUAUGCGCACAGCCAUAUUGCCAGCAGCAACAGCGGCACCAGCAGCGGCAGCGGGAGUACAGCCACGGCGACCCCGGCCGACCAUCACCCACCUUCAGCUGCGACCCAACAGGAGGACAGCGGUGGCUCGAGCAGUGCGCCUUCUGGUGGAGAGUUUGGCAGUGGCCGCGGUGGCGGCCCCGCCUCGGGUGACAGCCCCCUGGCUGGGCUGCGCAAGUUUCAGGACUCGUUCCUCUCUUUCCUGAAGACCCCCCAGGGGGGUGCUGCCCCCCCUGCAGAGGAGGCGGGGGUGCCUGCCCCUUCCCAGCAGCCGCCCCCGCCGCCGCAGCAGGGCCGCAGCGCCAGCGGCAAGCCCCUGGCCAACCCGAGCCCCUACUGUGACUUCUGCCUGGGCGACAAUGGCGAGAACAAAAAGACACGGCAGCCGGAGGAACUCGUCUCCUGCUCGGACUGUGGCCGCUCUGCGCACCCGUCUUGCCUCCAGUUCACGCCCAACAUGACUGUGUCGGUGAAGAAGUACCGCUGGCAGUGCAUCGAAUGCAAGUCCUGCGGCCUGUGUGGAACCUCGGACAAUGAUCCCAGUUGGCGGCGAUCUUCUGCCUUGCCGGGUCCGUGGAGCGUAGUGAGGUCUCCCAGUCCUUCCAGGUUUUGAGGGGUACCGGCCCGCCGGGGGGAGAAGAAGCUGGGCAGGCCAGGAGUAUAUGGGAUCAGCUGCUGUUUUGCGACGACUGCGACCGGGGCUACCACAUGUACUGCCUGCAGCCGCCCCUGUCUGAGCCACCUGAAGGUCAGU